This 468-nucleotide ribosomal RNA is filed under the name uncultured bacterium. Its description in RNAcentral is "partial 16S ribosomal RNA". It matches the Rfam family "Bacterial small subunit ribosomal RNA", at positions 28 to 507 of the family's 1533-position model. The record is from RNAcentral.
GACGAACGCUGGCGGCGUGCUUAACACAUGCAAGUCGAACGGAAAGGCCCUGCUUUUGCGGGGUGCUCGAGUGGCGAACGGGUGAGUAAAACGUGAGUAACAUGUCCUUGACUUAGGGAUAACUUCAGGAAACUGGGGCUAAUACCGGAUAGGAGCUCCUGCAGCAUGGUGGGGGUUGGAAAGUUUCGGCGGUGGGGGAUGGACUCGCGGCUUAUGCGCUUGUUGGUGGGGUAGUGGUUUACAAAGGCUUUGACGGGUAGCCGGCCUGAGAGGGUGACCGGCCACAUUGGGACUGAGAUACGGACCAGACUCCUACGGGAGGCAGCAGUGGGGAGUAUGGCGCAGUGGGCGGAAGCCUGUUACAGCAACGCCGGGUGCGUGAUGACGGGCUUCGGGUUAUAAACCGCUUUGUCCUGUGACGAAGCGUGAGUGACGGUAAUGGGUAAAGAAGCACCGGCUAACUACGUG